RNAcentral lists this long non-coding RNA (1882 nucleotides) under Lactuca sativa (garden lettuce). RNAcentral's name for it is "long non-coding RNA (LSAT_LNC007884)". The record is from RNAcentral. Lineage: Eukaryota; Viridiplantae; Streptophyta; Magnoliopsida; Asterales; Asteraceae.
UAACUUUCAAAUUAAAUAUAAAUGGUCCUAUAGAUAAAUGAAUUUGAAAUUCAUUAUUAAAAGUAAUUAAAUUAAUGUAAAAUAAAUUAAUAAAAUAAGUGUAAACUUAGGAUUGCUAUGGAGGCUCCGUGCUACUUUUGGUUGGAGUCUUUGUACUUUUUAGAUGGGAAAAACUUAAAAAAAAAAAAAAAAAAAAAAGUUUGUAUUAUAUCCGAAUGCUUAGAAAAACCUUUAUAUGAUUUUUUGUACGCAUUAACCAUUAUUAUUUCUAAUUUUGAUUGUUUUCAAUCUUUGUGACCGGUUAGCGCAAAGCUACUAGUAACACAGCUUUUGUACGCAUUAAACAUUAAGCAUUAACCACUAUUCAUCACCCUCUUCAUCCGGACCUAUUGAACUGCCGAACACCACCACCUUGUUGUCUCUGCUGCUGUGUUUUUCAGUUCACCCCUACCCCCGAGAUCACCACUGCUACCCAACCACGAACCACCAUUAACCGAAACCCAUAGCUCAUCUCCUCCAUUUUGUUUUGUUGAGAACCAAAGAAAAGACAGAAAUAUAGUUAUUUUCAUUGUGGUUUGGGAUGAACAAGAAUGAAAAAAAGAAAAAAAAAUCACAGAACAGGAGACCAUCACCCUCGUUUCAAACCUCUAAACUUGCAACACAAACCGGAAAACAAAAACCAAACAGGAAGAAGAAAGAUGAAUCACAAAACAGAACAAGAAAAGAAUUAAAGAAAUCUGAGAAUUUCUUUUUCUAUGUUGUUGCUACCAAAAAUCAAAACCAAAUCACACAAAUCUUUUUUUGUGUGUGUUGGUGCUGUCGAGUAAACAAGAAAGAAAGAAGAAAAAAAUGUGUUUGUUCCACCAUCGAGAUUGAAAGAAGAAGAAUCAAAGAGAAGCAAGAACACUGUUCAUCGUCCCCAUCGAGAACCUGCAACAGAAAAAAGAAAAAGAAAAAANNNNNNNNNNNCGCACAAAAAAAAAAAAAAAAAAAAAAAAAAAAAAAAAAAAAAAACUCCUUUUUGUGUGUUGUUGCUACCGAAAAUCACAAAAAUCGUUUCUUCUGUUGAGUAAAAAAAUUUGUAUUUGUUCCACCACCAUUACCUGUUGCUACUUCUGCUUAAAUCUGAAAAAACCGAGAACCAACUAUCUUCCGAAACCAUCACCACAAAAUCAACAACCGGUUAACCACCGUCACCUGCUCGAAACAUCACAUGUGAAACUCUAGAACCAAAUUGAAAACAGGGAGACCAACCCUUCGGUUCCAAACCCACUCGAGCCCGAAGACCUUUGCAAAACCCGACGACCUACACACUGCCUUUUCCGAAACCGAACAACCUCUAGCAAUUUACUGUUCAUCAUCCCCUCCACUUAAAAACCAGCAACAAAUAUCAAGAAACGAAACAUAUAAAAAAAUUGUUGCUGUUUUCUUUGCUCUCUAGCUGAGACCCGAGACCGUUGAGCCUCAUCCUAGUCACCUUCAAAACAGAAUUGAAACAAAAAUCAAAAUCAAAAUUGAAGAAGUUUUGGGAUUAAGGAUUUUUUUACAGAUCGAGAAUCUGUUACCAGAUAAAGUAGGGAUUUUAAACGGUUUUGGAAAUCAUAGUGGUUGAUACGUACAAAAUAAUUAUAUAGGGGUUUUUCUAAGUAUUAGAUAUAAUAGAUAGGGUUUUUAUGAGUUUUUCCCUUUUUGGAUUUUUAAAUUAAUACUAUGUAGCUACCGAAUUUUUCAUUUAGUCAUCAAUGGUGAUAGUCUAAGACACAAAAUUAAGUGAGUACGUGAACAACAUUCAAUUUAUUAAUAUUUCAUAACAGUAAUUUUUACAAAAGAAAAAAAUUGGACGUCAGUAUAGAUGCGUCACACAAUGAGCUAUUUAAAUAAA